This 139-nucleotide non-coding RNA is filed under the name Aquitalea magnusonii. The record is from RNAcentral. Lineage: Bacteria; Pseudomonadati; Pseudomonadota; Betaproteobacteria; Neisseriales; Chromobacteriaceae.
GGAGAAGUUCCCGGCGAGGGUGUAUGAUACUAGCACUUGCCAUGGAAGAAGCCGGUGCAAAUCCGGCGCGGUCGCGCCACUGUAAAUUGUCAUCCCGAAUCAAGAUGACAGUAAGUCAGACCUUCCUGCAAGCAACCCA